CCCACAAUCUGACAGACGCCUACUGCCUUCAAAAAAGAGUUCAGGGUUCUACUUUACCUUUUAGCCAGGUAUUUUUUUCAUAAAUUUUAUAUCUUCAUAGUUUUUUAAUUAUGCAAUUUUUCUAUAGCAUGAAUAUUGUACCUUUAUAAAUUAUUAGCAACUGUAUGUUGUGUUUCUAUUGCAUGUGAGUUGAUUUUUGUUUUUUGUUGAUGUUUUUUAUUUUUUAUUUUUAUUCAUUCAUAUAGUACUGUUCGGUGUCUAGUAAUAUUAUUAUGGGAGACUCUCAACCACGAGUAUUCCAAAAAAAGGGCAGUGUAUGAAGCAUGGACACAGGAACAAAGUGAUGCCUUGUUACGAAUUCUGGCUGAAUCUGCAAUUAGGGGAUGGCGCGAUAAUAGUGGUAUAUUUAGCAAAGCAACAGUAGAGGAAAGGAU
This 434-nucleotide long non-coding RNA is filed under the name Salvia miltiorrhiza (redroot sage). Its description in RNAcentral is "long non-coding RNA (SMIL_LNC010261)". Lineage: Eukaryota; Viridiplantae; Streptophyta; Magnoliopsida; Lamiales; Lamiaceae. The record is from RNAcentral.